RNAcentral lists this ribosomal RNA (127 nucleotides) under Escherichia coli. RNAcentral describes it as "partial 23S ribosomal RNA". The stretch from base 1 to 110 matches the Rfam family "Bacterial large subunit ribosomal RNA", at positions 2811 to 2925 of the family's 2925-position model. Lineage: Bacteria; Pseudomonadati; Pseudomonadota; Gammaproteobacteria; Enterobacterales; Enterobacteriaceae. The record is from RNAcentral.
CUUUAAGGGUCCUGAAGGAACGUUGAAGACGACGACGUUGAUAGGCCGGGUGUGUAAGCGCAGCGAUGCGUUGAGCUAACCGGUACUAAUGAACCGUGAGGCUUAAUCUUACAACGCCGAAGCUGUU